This 953-nucleotide long non-coding RNA is filed under the name Homo sapiens (human). Its description in RNAcentral is "HSALNT0238247". Lineage: Eukaryota; Metazoa; Chordata; Mammalia; Primates; Hominidae. The record is from RNAcentral.
GUUGCAGUAAGCCAAGAUCACGCCACUGCACUCCAGCCUGGACAACAGAGCAAGACUCCGUCUCAAAAAAAAAAAAAAAGUUUUCUUCAGAUUGUCAAAUUCUGACUUGAAACAGUUAUCAUAAGCUGAGCCUGGUGGUUCACACCUGUAAUCCCAGCACUUUGGGAGACUGAGGUGGGAGAAUCGCUUGGGUCCAGUAGCGAGACCUUGUCUCAAAAACAAAUCAAACAAACAAAACACAAAAACACAACCACAAAAAGCAAACAACACCCCCCUCCCACCCAAAGAAAAAGAAAUGGUAACUACCUGGACAAAACAUUUCACGUGCAUUGUUUUAGUAAACAGACACAACCUUGGCUUCAGGUCUUUUUUGUUUUCUGUCACCCAGGCGGAGUUUGCAGUGAGCUGACAUCGCAUCACUGCACUCCAGCCUGGGUGACAGAGCAAUACUCCAUCUCGAAGAAAAAGAAAAAAAAAAAAAAUACAUGCACAGAAAAAAAGUUCAAUCAGUGCAUAAGGACAUAUGCAACAAGUCUCCCUCCUACUGUUUCUCCUGAUCUGCAGGUCCCCUCCCUAAUGGCAAUCACUGUUACAGUGUAACAGAGAUUCUGACAUAAUCUUAUUGUAUGUAUUUCCUUCACCCCCACGCAUGGAAACAGUAACUCCCUCCACACACUACCUCAUGCUUAUAUCAUUAACAGUGUAACUCUUGGAGAUUGUUGCACACCCACCAAAAGAGAACUGCCUUAUUCUGUUUGUUUGUUUGUUUGUUUUGAGACGGAGUCUCUGUCGCUCAGGCUGGAGUGCAGUGGCACGAUCUCGGCUCACUGCAACCUACGCCUCCCAGGUUCAAGCAAUUCUCCUGCCUCAGGCUCCCGAGCAGCUGGCAUUACAGGCAUGCACCACCAUGCCCAGCUAAUUCUUUUGUAUUUUUAGUAGAGACUGGGUUUCAC